This is a long non-coding RNA of Brassica napus (rape), 229 nucleotides long. RefSeq lists it as uncharacterized. The record is from RefSeq and is a predicted model, not a curated record. NCBI's taxonomy places the organism in Eukaryota, Viridiplantae, Streptophyta, Magnoliopsida, Brassicales, Brassicaceae. The transcript has 3 exons.
GCUAAGUAUACGGCAGCUAUACAGAAUCAGUGCUAUGUACUUUGAUGACAUUUAUGACAUGAGCAGCGUUUCUUCAGAUGUUAUUUCAAGCAUGAUGAUUAGAUUGAUAGAUGACUUGACCGAUGGUGUACGGAGUGACUUUCUUUUGGAGGACGACUUGAGCAUUCCAUUCACCGUAGAGGAUUUAUCAAAAUCAACGGAACAAGGGGAUGUAAACGACAUUGAUACU